AAAUAUGAAUGUCAUUUAAUCACUUCUGACGAAAAUAGAUAGAGAAAUUUUUAACCUAGGGUUUGGUUUAUAAACCCGAAAGAAGAGAUUUUGAAAUUCUAGUGCGAGAGCAAAAUCCACUGGCCAAGAUCGAGGUUUACCAAUUCUUGUUUUGUCAUGUCAGGCGACCAACCUCAACCUCCUCCCCCGUUCCAUGUAGAUUUUGCUAUCCAUCAAACGGAAAGUUGUUCGGGAACUAUUAGGUGGGAUAGAGCACUUACGUAAAAUUGCACAUUUGCGGGAUCAAGAAUAUACUGAGCUACAACAACAUUAUAACGCCCCGCAGAGAAUUCAGGAAAUUCAGAAGAGAAGGGAUAGGAAAUUCAGAAGAGAAGGAUGACAUUCAAAGAGAAAUAAAUAAUCUUCGGAAUGAAUUUCUGCACGUGAUCUCUUCCCACAUUAUCUUGCCGAGUAACCAACCAUAAUAAAUCACUCUCAGACAAACUUUCAACGAGUGCUAACGAUAUAGUUUUUGUGACAAAAGUUGCUGAAUAAAUCACUCAGAAUGAAACAAUAGUUACUUUU
This is a long non-coding RNA of Vigna unguiculata (cowpea), 564 nucleotides long. RefSeq lists it as uncharacterized. Lineage: Eukaryota; Viridiplantae; Streptophyta; Magnoliopsida; Fabales; Fabaceae. The record is from RefSeq and is a predicted model, not a curated record.